UACGUAGGGAGCAAGCGUUGUCCGGAAUCAUUGGGCGUAAAGCGCGCGUAGGCGGCCCUGUAAGUCCGUUGUGAAAGUCAAAGGCUCAACCUUUGAAAGCCGAUGGAUACUGCAGGGCUAGAGUCCGGAAGAGGCGAGUGGAAUUCCUGGUGUAGCGGUGGAAUGCGCAGAUAUCAGGAGGAACACCAAUAGCGAAGGCAAUCCCCUGGGCCUGCACUGACGCUCAUGCACGAAAGCGUGGGGAGCAAACAGG
RNAcentral lists this ribosomal RNA (253 nucleotides) under uncultured bacterium. RNAcentral describes it as "partial 16S ribosomal RNA". It matches the Rfam family "Bacterial small subunit ribosomal RNA", at positions 524 to 776 of the family's 1533-position model. The record is from RNAcentral.